CUUCUGUAAUCUUUUUCUCAAUUUCAGCUACCACGCCAUCCUCAUUGCUCCCUUCCUCCGCCAUGGCCGGGCCCCGAGCCGUCGCCGUGGCGACGCGGGGCGCGCCGGCCCUGCGGGCGCUCCCUUCCCUCCGCCCGUUCCACCGCCGCAGCCGCGGCUUCCCCGGGCCUCCAGCGUUGGGCCUGGGCUGACAGGCGCAGCCACCUACUUUCCCUCCGCCCUGGGAACCAGUCACCUCAUUUACAGGGCCCGCUGAAAUAAAAAGCAAAUAAAGGAUGACUGAAGCAGUGCACUGAGUUUCUGAGUGCGUUAGCCACUGCGCUGCGUGGCUUCAAGAGCACUGAGUGACAGCCACAGUCCUGGGUGCUAAUGCUCCAAAACAUCAAUUGUGCCCCAAACACGGAUCCCAGGCGUGGAGGCCACAGCUGUAACCCACCACCCUCCCACCCAGCUGGGACUGGUAGGGCUUGGGGUGUCACUCCCUGCCAUGCCAAAGUGACAGAACCCACCACUGAGGCCAUACCUGGCACGUGAGGCAGCGGCAGGCACAAGCACCACUGUCCUGGCAGGGAGACUUGGACGAGCCCCAGCGAUCUGCCGUUUCACAAUGUUCCUUUUAUUUAUUUUUUAUACCAAUCUUCCCAGCAAUUGCAGAGAUAUCUGCAUCUGAGCUUUAGAAAGUGAAAGAACAUUUUAUUCUAAAUAUCGUCA
RNAcentral lists this long non-coding RNA (711 nucleotides) under Gallus gallus (chicken). The record is from RNAcentral. Lineage: Eukaryota; Metazoa; Chordata; Aves; Galliformes; Phasianidae.